AGAAUCAACGCUGGCGGCGUGCCUAACACAUGCAAGUCGAACGAGAAAGUGGAGCAAUCCAUGAGUAAAGUGGCGCACGGGUGAGUAACACGUGACUAACCUACCCUUGAGUGGGGAAUAACCUAGGGAACCUGGGCUAAUACCGCAUAACACCUACGGGUCAAAGGAGCAAUUCGCUUAAGGAGGGGUCGCGGCAGAUUAGCUAGUUGGCGGGGUAAUGGCCCACCAAGGCAGUGAUCUGUA
Molecule: ribosomal RNA, 243 nt
Filed under: uncultured bacterium
Lineage: Bacteria
Description: partial small subunit ribosomal RNA
Rfam family: Bacterial small subunit ribosomal RNA
Source: RNAcentral